GAGUCCUCCUUGAUCUGUAAUGGGAAUGCCCCUUACUCAGUAUCCAGUGGAUAUGGCCAUGGGUCAAGACACUCUGCUUCAUGGAGAAACCUUGUUUGCUAUUCCCAACACAGAUUUGGACCACAUAGCCCUUCCAUUUCUCACCAUCAGCAGCAACUUCUAUGACCGUUGACUUCUCAUGAAAGCUCUGUACCUUCAGGACUCUGUUCUUCAAGAGAGCAGCUCCGUGAAGGGGAGGAUAACCACUGGACUUCUAGAAGGCACAUCACUAGUGAGUUUUGAUUUCAUUUUUUUCUUUCACACAAUGAGACUAUUACCAGUGUGAACUAUAGUCCAACUGACCUGACCCCAUGCUUUAUAGUUCAGACUAGAACACAGCUACAUGCCAUGAAAGAGGUAGAGUUAGCAAAGAUGCUGGGAAAUGAAAAGAAUAAAGUCAUUUAGUGAAAUGGAGAGCCUCCCAAAUAGCACAGACUUUUAAGUGUCCCAAACUUUAAUUCCAUGUCCAAAGACAAAAAGAAGUGAGAUUUUUCUUUUCUUCUUUUUUUUUUUUUUACUAGUUACAGCUUCCAUUUCACACAUACAGAUUUAGGUAAGUCUGUUUCCCAGUAUUUUAGAAAAUUGUGAAAUAUGCUUACUAAAAUUGAAAUCCAUACUCCCAUAACCAGUUUUAACAUUUUGGUGGAUAAUAUAGUACAGUUGUUUCUAUCCAAAGAGCUGGUUUUCACUGUUUAGAUAUAUGUACAUAUACUUGGCCAAAAAAGAUCUGGAUCCUGUAGUACAUGCCACAGCACCUAUAUACCAUGCAUGCUUUCUUUCAGCCAAGACUUUGUCCUUCUCUUCAAGGCCUUGUGAAUAAGAAAGUGUUUAUAGUGGUCUAUAAGAUUCCAAGAUGUGGCCAUUGACUUCUCCCAAGAAGAAUGGGGAUUCCUGAACCCUGCUCAGAGAAAAUUAUACACAGCUGUGAUGUCAGAGAAUUAUCAGAAUGUGGUCUGGCUAGAAUUCCAGUAAUGCUACAAUGUGUGACUGUUCCUUUGAGUCUGGUGUCUCCUUCACCUGGAAAGACAUUCCUCAUCUUAUUGCUUGAUCACCCGGGAGGGGACAGGAAUCAUCUCUACAUGGGGUCAUCUUGGCACGGGACAAGCUCUUUUGGUCCUUUGUGAGUAUUCAGAGAAUAUGCAUAGAACACAUCAAUUUUCAAUGUUUUUUUUAAAUUUAUUUUUGUUUCAAGUUUUUAUUUAAAUUUUAGUCAGUUAACAUAAGUGUAAUAUUGGUUUCAGGAGUAGAAGUUAGUGAUUCUUCUACUCCUGAAACCAAUAUUACCCAGUGCUCAUCCUAAUAGCUAUCACCCAUUUAGCCCAUCCCCCGCCCACCUCCCUGCCAACAACCCUGUUCUCCAUAGUUAAAGAGUUUGUUUUACAGUCCCUCCCUCCCACCAUUUGUUUUCCCCAAUGUUCAUCUGUUUUGUUUCUUAAAUUCCACAUAUGAGUGAAAUCACAUGGUAUUUAUCUUUCUCUGAUUGACUUGUUUCACUUAGCAUAAUACACUCUAGCUCCAUCUACGGCAUUGCAAAUGGCAAGAUUUCAUUCUUCUUGAUGGCUGAGUUAAUAUUCCAUUCUAUAUAUGUAUACACCACAUCUUCUUUUAGACACAGGAGGAGGGAGAAGCAGACUCCAUGCCAGGAGCCCGACGCGGGACGCGGGACUCGAUCCCGCGGCUCCAGGGAUCACGCCCUGGGCCAAAGGCAGGCGCUAAACCGCUGAGCCACCCAGGGAUCCCCUACACCACAUCUUCUUUAUCCAUUCUUCAGUUGAUGAACAUUUGGGCUCUUUCCAUAAUCUGGCUAUUGUUGAUAAUGCUGCUAUAAACAUCAGGGUGCAUGUGCCCCUUCGAAUCAGUUUUUUCUUUUUUUUUUUUAAUUUUUAUUUAUUUAUGAUAGUCACACACACAGAGAGAGAGAGAGAGAGAGAGAGAGAGAGAGAGGCAGAGACAUAGGCAGAGGGAGAAGCAGGCUCCAUGCACCGGGAGCCCGACGUGGGACUCGAUCCCGGGUCUCCAGGAUCGCGCCCUGGGCCAAAGGCAGGCGCUAAACCACUGCGCCACCCAGGGAUCCCGAUUUAUUUAUUCGUGAGAGACAUAGAGAGAGAGGCAGAGACACAGGCAGAGGGAGAAGCAGGCUCCAUGCAGGGAACCUGACGUGGGACUCGAUCCUGGAUCUCCAGGAUCCUGCCCCGGGCUGAAGGCGGCGCUAAACCGCAGAGCCACCCAGGCUGCCCUCACUUUUGUUUUCAAUCCCCAUUGCAAACAUUGCUUACAUCCUAUCAGUUGAAUUUGGGCAUUUUACUUCUACAGAUUGUAGACCCAAGGAGUGAGUUUGUUUGUUUGUUUGUUUGUUUAUUUAUUUAUUUAUUUAUUUUUGAACCAAGGAAUUUAACACAUGCUCGGGGGUGCAGCAGCUACCAGGAGAUUAACUGUUCUUUGAUGGGAGCUUGAAAAGGGCAAGGAGUAAGAGUAAGAGAGGGUAGUCCGGAUGGUGGAAGCAAUGAGGAGGCUUUUUUUCCCCCUCCAUUUUCAGCACCCAGCACUGUCUCCCGCCAGAGGGCCAUGGACGAGGGAUUCUGAAUCCAACCCAACUGUAAAAGUUUAGGUCCCUUCUCUGCCUAAAAUUCCUCAGCAGGCUCAACUUUUUGAAUCUGUAAUUUUAUGGCUUUCAUCAAAUUGAGAAAAUUUUAGUCAUUAUUCUUCAUUUUUUUCUCCUUUGCUCUCUCUCUGAUGCUUUCAGAUAACUGUUUUUCAUAUUUUGUGCAGAGUUUAUAUUUUUAUCUGUGGAAUUGGCCUAGAUCUAGUGAAAGAUGCUAGAAGCUCUGGAGGGUAGACCAAGAUGUCGGGGUAGGAGAAUCUAAUGUAUUCCAACCCAAAUGAUUUCUGUAGUUCUCCAAUAACAAAUACAGUAUACAAUCCUCCGUGGUUCGUAUAUUCUCACAAAUCUGAGCAUCUCUGACCCCAGAAAUGAAUGACACUUAGUUACCAGGCAUCCACACUACACCAACAGGAGGGUCAGUCGGCCAAGACUUGAGAUGAAGAAUUUCAUCUUACAAAGAAUUUGCUCAAUAUUCAGGACUUUGAGCCCAACAACAGCGGUUUGUUCAAAUUACUUGUGGUAAUCAAUAAUUUUGACAAGUAUUUAAAAGUGGACUAAAG
This 3201-nucleotide long non-coding RNA is filed under the name Canis lupus familiaris (dog). Its description in RNAcentral is "lncRNA (ENSCAFG00000058972.1)". Lineage: Eukaryota; Metazoa; Chordata; Mammalia; Carnivora; Canidae. The record is from RNAcentral.